UUGCCUUUGUUGGCACUGUUCGUAACCUGUUAACAGCACCUUCCUGCUAAUGGGUUCCAUUCCAGUGCUAC
Molecule: microRNA precursor, 71 nt
Organism: Catharus ustulatus (Swainson's thrush)
Lineage: Eukaryota; Metazoa; Chordata; Aves; Passeriformes; Turdidae
Source: Ensembl